CCUACGGGGCGCAGCAGUGGGGAAUCUUGCGCAAUGGGCGAAAGCCUGACGCAGCGACGCCGCGUGAAGGAAUAAGGCCUUCGGGUUGUAAACUUCUUUUAUUAGGGACGAAGGAUGUGACGGUACCUAAUGAAUAAGCCACGGCUAACUACGUGCCAGCAGCCGCGGUAAUACGUAGGGGGCGAGCGUUGUCCGGAAUAAUUGGGCGUAAAGGGCGUGUAGGCGGCUUUACAAGUCAGUAGUGGAAGUCCCAUUUUCAAGGUGGGGAGGGCUAUUGAAACUGCGGGGCUUGAAUCCUGGAGAGGGUGGCGGAAUUCCUGGUGUAGGAGUGAAAUCCGUAGAUAUCAGGAGGAACACCGGUGGCGAAGGCGGCCACCUGGACAGGUAUUGACGCUGAGGUGCGAAAGUGCGGGGAGCAAACAGGAUUAGAUACCCUGGUA
RNAcentral lists this ribosomal RNA (440 nucleotides) under uncultured bacterium. RNAcentral's name for it is "bacterial SSU rRNA". It matches the Rfam family "Bacterial small subunit ribosomal RNA", at positions 338 to 792 of the family's 1533-position model. The record is from RNAcentral.